GUGGGAAUGGACUGAUAGUCCUCAGGCUGGGUUGUUGCUGGGAUCCUUCCUUUUUUUCCUGAACAUGUCUGUGGCUUGAGGGAGCCUGGGCAGGUGACUAGCAUGUCUUUAAGGUGAGAAAGAUGGGAUACCAUGGGGGCUAGUGGAUGCUGAGGGGAGAUGGCAUAGCUACUUACGUACACUGUCUUGUUUGAUUUCCAAACGCUCCCCAUGACAUACCCCAUUUACCUGGCGAGGGACCUGAUCUACAGCCAGUUCCAUGGCCAUGUGUCAGAGGGAGCCGUACAGAGGCCAGCAGGCUCCAUGUGUUCCCUUUCCCAUGUCAUUGCAUGCCUUGUUUGCUGAUGUUUGCGUCCAUCCUCAGGGAGCUGGCGCUAACGGUCUGUUAGGGGUGGAAGAGACGUCUGGCUUGGCAUUGCACGAGUGGGAGGUGGGCUCAUGUUGUCCAUGGUGCCUCGGUGUGAUGUGGCGAGCAGUGUGCAUCCCUUCAGUCUCUUGGUCUUGUGUGGGAAAGAGUCCACUUGCCUCAGGCAGGCUUGAGAGACGAGCGGCUCCCUGAUUGGGGGCCUCUGUGUAUAGCACCUCGGGUGUAUUGCUGUCUGGGCUUGGGUGACUUCUAAGUGUGGAAGGGGUAAGGUUGGUGUCUCUGAGGCAGAGGUGCCUGAAUCACAUGGACGGGAUGCAAUUCAGAGUCCUGAGGCUGUGACAUCUCCAGCCCAGCUUUCAGACAAGGUUGGCCUGGGAGGAAAGAAGGAAAGUUUCUAAGGUCAACCCGAGGCCACUUGUUCUGGGAAGUGGGUCCACUUGACCUGUCCCAAUUGAAGGGGAACACAUGCUCUCUCAGUGUCCUCAGGACUGCAGAGGCUCCUCUGAAGAGCCACAGGCCACCUCACAAACUUUCCAGCCUUCCUCGAUGGGAGUCUUUGAUGGGCACAGGCCUGGGACGCCCUCUCUCAUAGUUGGCCUCCCAUGGAAAUCAAGCGGAGGUCAGAAGAGGCACCCUGAGCCAUCUUCCUGCUUAGACUCGGAUGAAGUCUUCCAUAGCUCUGAGGAGAAAGGCCACAGGCAAAGCAAGACUGUGGCUUCUUUAAGUCAGCGUGUCCUCACACACUGGUGUUGUCCAACAUCCUCUCAGCCUUGAACACUUAUCCUAGUCAGCUACGAUCGACUCGUUCGAUAUCGACUGCAGCCAGGGUCCCUAAAAGGACAUGGAGGCAGCUGUGGGUGUUGUCUGUAGCUGUCAUGCAGGUACCCCAAGGUUUCCUGACACUGGGGUCCCAUUCUGAAGACACCCUUGGGGUGUGUAUGCUGCGAAGUCUUUCCUCAUCCCUUGAGCUGAAUGACAGGUUGAGCUGUCUCAGAGGGUGACUUGGCUGGGUGCCAGGCUCUUGACCUGGGAUUCUCUUGGUUGGGAGACCGAGGUGGCCAUGUCCAGACCAGGCCAGAGUCUUGAGCUGCUCUUGAUACACAGGGGCAAGGUCAGGUGAGCUUGUGGGUGUAAAGGGAAUAGAAAAGAUGGGAGUGGUCUGAUCUUGACUGCAAAAAACAAAAACAAAAAUAAAAACCAAAAUGAAAG
Molecule: long non-coding RNA, 1576 nt
Filed under: Rattus norvegicus (Norway rat)
Lineage: Eukaryota; Metazoa; Chordata; Mammalia; Rodentia; Muridae
Description: long non-coding RNA NONRATT013292
Source: RNAcentral